UAAAAAGUUUCCCUUUUUAGAUACUACUAGC
This 31-nucleotide non-coding RNA is filed under the name Rattus norvegicus (Norway rat). The record is from RNAcentral. Lineage: Eukaryota; Metazoa; Chordata; Mammalia; Rodentia; Muridae.